UACGAACCGUGCAAACGUUAUUCGGAAUCACUGGGCAUAAAGGGCGCGUAGGCGGCUCCAAAAGUCAGGGGUGAAAUCCGGCAGCUUAACUGUCGCAGUGCCUUUGAUACUGUGGAGCUAGAGGGAGGUAGGGGUCUGUGGAACUUCCGGUGGAGCGGUGAAAUGCGUUGAUAUCGGAAGGAACGCCGGUGGCGAAAGCGACGGACUGGAUCUCUUCUGACGCUGAGGCGCGAAAGCCAGGGGAGCAAACGGG
Molecule: ribosomal RNA, 253 nt
Filed under: uncultured bacterium
Lineage: Bacteria
Description: partial 16S ribosomal RNA
Rfam family: Bacterial small subunit ribosomal RNA
Source: RNAcentral